This 189-nucleotide unclassified non-coding RNA is filed under the name soil metagenome. Its description in RNAcentral is "partial internal transcribed spacer 1". The record is from RNAcentral.
CAAGAAGCGCCGAAAGGCUGCUUAUAACCAUCGCGAACCUAUCCAUCAGCGUUGCUUCGGCGGGAGCGCUCGCGGGCCCGAUCCUCCGGGCCCCGAGCCGGGGCUCCACCCCUGGGUGGGGCCGCCCGCCGGAGGUACGAACCUCUUUUGCAUCUCUGUGGCAUCUCUGAGUAAACAAGCAAGUAAUCA